AGCGAACGCUGGCGGCAGGCCUAACACAUGCAAGUCGAACGAACCUUUCGGGGUUAGUGGCGGACGGGGGAGUAACACGGGGGAACGUGCCUUUAGGUCCGGCAUAUAUCAGGGGAUCAUGUGCUAAUACCGGCUGUGCUAUUCCGGGGAACGGUUUGUCGCCUAUAGGGGGGCUGGCGUCUGAUUAGCUAGUUGGUUGCGGUAAUGGGUCAACAAGGCUACUGUGAGUAGCUGGUCUGAGAGAAUGAUCAGCCACAUUGGGGCUGAGACACGGCCGUAACUCCUACGCGAUGGAGGAGAGGGUAAUCCUGCGCAAUGGGGGAUAUGAUGACGCAGCCAUGCCGCGUGAACGAUUAAGGUCUUAGGAUUGUAAAAUUCUUUCACAGGGUGCGAUAAUGACGGUACCCGGAGAAGAAGCCCCGGCUAACUUCGUG
RNAcentral lists this ribosomal RNA (434 nucleotides) under uncultured bacterium. RNAcentral describes it as "partial 16S ribosomal RNA". It matches the Rfam family "Bacterial small subunit ribosomal RNA", at positions 29 to 507 of the family's 1533-position model. The record is from RNAcentral.